RNAcentral lists this microRNA precursor (60 nucleotides) under Callorhinchus milii (elephant shark). RNAcentral describes it as "Cmi-Mir-192-P2_pre stem-loop". It matches the Rfam family "mir-192/215 microRNA precursor family", at positions 9 to 68 of the family's 76-position model. Rfam says of the family: This family represents the human microRNA (miRNA) precursors mir-192 and mir-215. Animal miRNAs are transcribed as ~70nt precursors and subsequently processed by the Dicer enzyme to give a ~22nt product. The record is from RNAcentral. Lineage: Eukaryota; Metazoa; Chordata; Chondrichthyes; Chimaeriformes; Callorhinchidae.
AUGACCUAUGAAUUGACAGCCAGUCUAUUUAAAAUUGCCUGUCAGUUCUAUAGGCCACUA